ACAGAAAAGGAUGUCUAGUGCUCAUCACUUUGCAGGGGGUAAGACUUCCCUGUAUGCCUUCACCAAAGGAAAGCUGCCCCAUGGAGAGGUCCAAGCUGCAAGAAACUGAUACCUUCACCUAACAGCCGGUGAGGACCUGAGGUCUGUCAACAGCCACCUGCGUGAUCUCGGAGGCAGAUCCUCUUCUAGCUGAGCCUGGGGAUGACUGCAGUCCUGGCCAACGCCCUCAUGACAGCCUUGUGUGAGAGACCCCGGGCCAAAGGGAUGCAGAUAAGCCACACUUGGAUUCCUGACUCACCGUGAGACAACGUUUUGUUGUUUUAAGCCACUAA
Molecule: long non-coding RNA, 332 nt
Organism: Homo sapiens (human)
Lineage: Eukaryota; Metazoa; Chordata; Mammalia; Primates; Hominidae
Source: Ensembl